GCUUGUACUCAGGGCAGGGUGAAAUUCCCGACCGGCGGUAUGGCCUGGAUUUCCCGGCCGAGCCCGCGAGCGCCCACCAGACCUUUGGUGGGGUCAGCAGAUCCGGUGAGACGCCGGAGCCGACGGUAUAGUCCGGAUGAGAGAGUGGAAGC
Molecule: non-coding RNA, 152 nt
Filed under: Kordiimonas lacus
Lineage: Bacteria; Pseudomonadati; Pseudomonadota; Alphaproteobacteria; Kordiimonadales; Kordiimonadaceae
Description: FMN sequence
Rfam family: FMN riboswitch aptamer (RFN element)
About the family: The RFN element is a highly conserved domain that is found frequently in the 5'-untranslated regions of prokaryotic mRNAs that encode for flavin mononucleotide (FMN) biosynthesis and transport proteins. This element is a metabolite-dependent riboswitch that directly binds FMN in the absence of proteins.
Source: Rfam by way of RNAcentral